GAGCUCGACCGAGUGAUAUGAGGCCUGUGGUGAGGAGUGAAGCCUGAGCUAGAUUGCCCCUCCCGUCGACCGAGUGAUAUGAGGCCUGUGGUGAGGAGUGAAGCCUGAGCUAGAUUGCCCCUCCCGUCGACCGAGUGAUAUGAGGCCUGUGGUGAGGAGUGAAGCCUGAGCUAGAUUACCCCUCCCAUCGAGUAUGCCAAGAUGGCGCCCAUUUCCUGCUCCCUAGCUAGUAAACAACACGCCCUGUAAGCUAGUCUGCCCAGCAACAGCUGACGCUGGCCAAUCAGCUCGUCUUGCCUACUUUGAUGUGAUUGGUCGAUGUGUCCAUAUAUAUGCUGACACCACCCCUGGGGCGAGAACACACACACCAAGAAGAGGGACUGCUGAGAGAAGCACACAAGGAGCCGUAGGGAACGGACCAGAGGAGGCUUCCCUCAGGCGGGAUCCGAGAUCCCGGAACAGGGCGUACGGAGAGAGAAAAUAAAUCAGAGGCUAUCCGCCGACUACUCGUGUCGUGUGUUUUUUCCUGCCGGCCGGGAUCGACACCGACAUUUGGUGGCCCGUACGGGGAACUGAUCACCCCCGAGGCGAGGCGGACGACGCUCCAGUAUUGCUCUGCAGGACAGGAACCAGGACGAGAACCAUUGUGGGUCCCAGAACGGCUGACGCGUGUGGCGAAUCCAACGAAACAUAAUGCAGGAGACACUCCAAAA
This is a long non-coding RNA of Cavia porcellus (domestic guinea pig), 713 nucleotides long. RefSeq lists it as uncharacterized. The record is from RefSeq and is a predicted model, not a curated record. The transcript has 2 exons. NCBI's taxonomy places the organism in Eukaryota, Metazoa, Chordata, Mammalia, Rodentia, Caviidae.